UCUAGUGAUGAUGGCAAAGAGGUCACACCCGUUCCCAUCCCGAACACGGAAGUUAAGCUCUUUUGCGCCGAUGGUAGUUGGGGGUUUCCCCCUGUGAGAGUAGGACGUCGCUAGUC
Molecule: ribosomal RNA, 116 nt
Organism: Planococcus rifietoensis
Lineage: Bacteria; Bacillati; Bacillota; Bacilli; Caryophanales; Caryophanaceae
Source: Rfam